UUGAGAAGAAAAUUAGAGCAGGAGGCUGAAUUGCAGCAAGCCAUUGAACUUCAAGGCAGAAGGUUAAUGAAUUUGCAACUGAUGGACCUGAAGAAUCAACAUUGCAACGAUCACUUCCCAUCGAGCCUCUCUGCUAGUCUUCCAACUGCUUCCGAGAUGCAGUUUCACUCUCAAAACUUGCAACAAUCACUUCUCAUCGGGCCUCUCUGCUAGUCUUCCAACUGCUUCUGAGAUACAGUUUCACUCUCAAAACAGUCAUAGUCUUGUUCCUCUGUCUGAUGACAUUGAUGA
This 291-nucleotide long non-coding RNA is filed under the name Nicotiana benthamiana. RNAcentral describes it as "long non-coding RNA (NBEN_LNC010126)". Lineage: Eukaryota; Viridiplantae; Streptophyta; Magnoliopsida; Solanales; Solanaceae. The record is from RNAcentral.